This is a long non-coding RNA of Hibiscus syriacus, 131 nucleotides long. RefSeq lists it as uncharacterized. NCBI's taxonomy places the organism in Eukaryota, Viridiplantae, Streptophyta, Magnoliopsida, Malvales, Malvaceae. The record is from RefSeq and is a predicted model, not a curated record. The transcript has 3 exons.
CAAAAAAAUUGUACAAAUCGGGGACUUUGUAUCGGAUUUAUUAUUUUCAUUGCACUAGUUUGGUUUUUGCAAGAAAGGACAACAGUUCGGAUUCUCCGCUAUGUCAUUCUCUUCAUUGGUAGAGGCUCUCU